This 1361-nucleotide ribosomal RNA is filed under the name uncultured bacterium. Its description in RNAcentral is "bacterial SSU rRNA". It matches the Rfam family "Bacterial small subunit ribosomal RNA", at positions 28 to 1381 of the family's 1533-position model. The record is from RNAcentral.
AUUGAACGCUGGCGGCAGGCCUAACACAUGCAAGUCGAGCGGUAGCACAGAGAGCUUGCUCUCGGGUGACGAGCGGCGGACGGGUGAGUAAUGUCUGGGAAACUGCCUGAUGGAGGGGGAUGACUACUGGAAACGGUAGCUAAUACCGCAUAACGUCGCAAGACCAAAGUGGGGGACCUUCGGGCCUCAUGCCAUCAGAUGUGCCCAGAUGGGAUUAGCUAGUAGGUGGGGUAACGGCUCACCUAGGCGACGAUCCCUAGCUGGUCUGAGAGGAUGACCAGCCACACUGGAACUGAGACACGGCCCAGACUCCUACGGGAGGCAGCAGUGGGGAAUAUUGCACAAUGGGCGCAAGCCUGAUGCAGCCAUGCCGCGUGUGUGAAGAAGGCCUUCGGGUUGUAAAGCACUUUCAGCGGGGAAGAAGGCGGUGAGGUUAAUAACCUUGUCGAUUGACGUUACCCGCAGAAGAAGCACCGGCUAACUCCGUGCCAGCAGCCGCGGUAAUACGGAGGGUGCAAGCGUUAAUCGGAAUUACUGGGCGUAAAGCGCACGCAGGCGGUCUGUCAAGUCGGAUGUGAAAUCCCCGGGCUCAACCUGGGAACUGCAUUCGAAACUGGCAGGCUAGAGUCUUGUAGAGGGGGGUAGAAUUCCAGGUGUAGCGGUGAAAUGCGUAGAGAUCUGGAGGAAUACCGGUGGCGAAGGCGGCCCCCUGGACAAAGACUGACGCUCAGGUGCGAAAGCGUGGGGAGCAAACAGGAUUAGAUACCCUGGUAGUCCACGCCGUAAACGAUGUCGAUUUGGAGGUUGUGCCCUUGAGGCGUGGCUUCCGGAGCUAACGCGUUAAAUCGACCGCCUGGGGAGUACGGCCGCAAGGUUAAAACUCAAAUGAAUUGACGGGGGCCCGCACAAGCGGUGGAGCAUGUGGUUUAAUUCGAUGCAACGCGAAGAACCUUACCUGGUCUUGACAUCCACAGAACUUUCCAGAGAUGGAUUGGUGCCUUCGGGAACUGUGAGACAGGUGCUGCAUGGCUGUCGUCAGCUCGUGUUGUGAAAUGUUGGGUUAAGUCCCGCAACGAGCGCAACCCUUAUCCUUUGUUGCCAGCGGUUAGGCCGGGAACUCAAAGGAGACUGCCAGUGAUAAACUGGAGGAAGGUGGGGAUGACGUCAAGUCAUCAUGGCCCUUACGACCAGGGCUACACACGUGCUACAAUGGCAUAUACAAAGAGAAGCGACCUCGCGAGAGCAAGCGGACCUCAUAAAGUAUGUCGUAGUCCGGAUUGGAGUCUGCAACUCGACUCCAUGAAGUCGGAAUCGCUAGUAAUCGUAGAUCAGAAUGCUACGGUGAAUACGUUCCCGGGCCU